UACAGAGGGUGCAAGCGUUGUUCGGAAUUACUGGGCGUAAAGCGUGCGUAGUCGGUAUUGAGAGUCGCGGGUGAAAUCCCAGGGCUUAACCCUGGAACUGCCUGCGAGACCUCAGUACUAGAGUGUGAGAGGGGAUAGUGGAAUACCAAAGUGUAGCGGUGAAAUGCGUAGAGAUUUGGUAGAACACCGGUGGCGAAGGCGGCUAUCUGGCUCACAACUGACGAUCAGGCACGGAAAGCGUGGGGAGCAAACAGG
RNAcentral lists this ribosomal RNA (255 nucleotides) under uncultured bacterium. RNAcentral's name for it is "partial 16S ribosomal RNA". It matches the Rfam family "Bacterial small subunit ribosomal RNA", at positions 524 to 776 of the family's 1533-position model. The record is from RNAcentral.